AGGUCGCUCUCACAGCCGCGGGGAGUGGGGCGGGGCGGGCAGGCAGAGGUGGAAUAGCCAAGUCCACCUCGGUGUGGAGGGUCAGGAUGGGAACUGGAGCUGGGAAAGAGUGCCAGAAAGGGGCAGGAGUCAGGGGGCCUGACCUUUCCACAUUCCUAAGUCAAAGGGCAGGCUGCAUUUUGGGCUGGUUGCCAAGGCUGGGGACAGCCGGGAAGAAAAAUAUCUGUGGAGUUCUGUGUCCUCCAGACAAUUGCACGACUCAACCCUGGAGAACAUCAUGUGGGCGGUCUUCGGCAGGCUACCGGAAGAAUUGUCAGUUUCACUGCUUGAGUCCUUCAAGAGUGAUGAGCCCUCCAUGGUUAAGAAUCUGCCUGCCAAUGCAGGGGACAC
Molecule: long non-coding RNA, 390 nt
Organism: Balaenoptera musculus (blue whale)
Lineage: Eukaryota; Metazoa; Chordata; Mammalia; Artiodactyla; Balaenopteridae
Exons: 4
Source: RefSeq, a predicted model, not a curated record